AGUCUGGUGCCAGCAGCCGCGGUAAUUCCAGCUCCAAUAGCGUAUAUUAAAGUUGUUGCGUCUAAAAAGCUCGUAGUUUGAAAACUUGCCUUGGCUUACAACAGACGUCUAAGGGCGUCACCGUUUGUCGAGAGCAAAUAUGGGUGACUGUUCUUGCCUUCUUCACUGAUUGGCUCGUAAAAGUCAUCGAAGAUCACUUUGAUUAAAUUAGGGUGCUCAAAGCAAGUGUGCUACUUGAAUAUGAAUGCAUGGAAUGAUGGAAUAUGUUGUUGUUCUAUUUGUUGGUUUUUUGAAUGACGAAAUGAUUGAAAGGAACUGUUGGGGGCAUUCGUAUUGUUGUGAGAGAGGUGAAAUUCUUAGACCAUAGCAAGACGAACUACUGCGAAAGCAUUUGCCAAGAAUGUUUUCAUUGAUCAAGAACGAAAGUUAGAGGUUCGAAGGCGAUCAGAUACCGCCCUAGUUCUAACCAUAAACUAUGCCGACUAGCAAUUUGCUUUGUAUUUUUAUGACUAAGUGAGAGGCCUCGGGAAACCAAAGUAGGGUUAUGGGGGAAGUAUGGUUGCAAAGCUGAAACUUAAAGGAAUCGACGGAAGGGCACCACCAGGAGUGGAGCCUGCGGCUUAAUUUGACUCAACACGGGAAAACUUACCUGGUCCUGACACUAGAAGGAUUGACAGAUUGAUAGCUCUUUCUUGAUUUGGUGGAUGGUGGUGCAUGGCCGUUCUUAGUUGGUGGAGUGAUUUGUCUGGUUAAUUCCGAUAACGAACGAGACUCUAGCCUAUUAAAUAAUAUGCGGAAUCAAUUUCUCCCGCGUUAUUUCUUAAUGGGAUCAAGCGUGUUUAACGCUUUGAAACAGAGCAAUAACAGGUCUGUGAUGCCCUUAGAUGUUCGGGGCUGCACGCGCGCUACAUUGAAGAACAAAGUGAGCCCUCUGGCUUUUAACAAAGCUAGAAAUCUUUUAAUGUUCUUCUUAAUGGGGAUAGGGGAUUGCAAUUGUGCCCCUUGAACGAGGAAUUCCCAGUAAGUGCUAGUCAUUAGCUAGUACUGAUUACGUCCCUGCCCUUUGUACACACCGCCCGUCGCUACUACCGAUUGAAUAGUUUAGUGAGAUCAUCUGAGUGUUUGUAUGUGCAUUCUGUGCUUGUAUGGUGUACGAAGAAGAUCAAACUUGAUUAUUUAGAGGAAGUAAAAGUC
Molecule: ribosomal RNA, 1194 nt
Filed under: metagenome
Description: SSU rRNA
Rfam family: Eukaryotic small subunit ribosomal RNA
Source: RNAcentral